CUGAUGUCAGGGGCUGGGCUGCCGCACGAGUGGCCUGCCGGGUGCGGGGGAAAAUGUUCGAGCGCGAGCCCCCGCGGGGCCAAUGGGGAGACGGAGGGCAGAAACGGGGGCCGUUGGAGCCAGCCUAAGCUUGGGUGUAAGCUCUGUCACUCAGAGCUCGGGACUAGGCGCUUUUGGGUGCAAAACGAGUGGCCCACACAACUCCCUGGCUAGAAGAGGCCCGAGUCUGGGAGGGGAGAGAUUUGGAGAAACCGAAUCUCAACUCCAUGAAGUCAGUGACGUGUCUCUUCUCUGCUGUACUCCGGGUGCCUGAAAUGUGCCUGGCAGGAAACUUUCAUUUUGGCCACAUAUGUACCUGUGUGCAGGCAUGUGUGCUUCUGUGAGCAUGCCCUGGAUCUCAAUGCCAAGGUCAACAGAAAGAAAGCAGAGAGUGAGUCACCAGCUAGCAGGAUGGAGCGUUGGAGAGUGGCCUAACAUGGGUAUUGGGAAGCUGAAGGCUGACCUGAGAGCUCCUCCUAGCAUGAGGCUCAUCUGUCAUCAUAAGCACAUGUGGGGGUCUCCUUCACUGGAUUGAGGACAUGUCCUGAGUGCAGCCAUCCCUGCCAGGAUUUAUGGGAACCAGGGAAGGUCUUCCCACUUGGCUGUAUUAACUACAGGAGGAUCGACCUUCAUGUGAGCACAGCCUGUCCCACCAAACUGGGGCCACAGGUGCCUACUCCAGGAAGCUAAAGAUGGUGGUUUGAGAGCACAGACCCUGGGCUCAGUCAUGGAUCAAAGCUCUGAUUCUCAUCAGCUGCAUAACCCCUUGGAACCUUCUGUGGCCUCUCUGAGCCUCGUGUCUUCAUCUGGAAAGGAGUCAGCUGCAAUGAUACCUGUCUUUGGGACUGCUGAGUGGUUAAGCAAAGGAAAGAACUAAAGCAUUAGAAUGAUGACAAAGAAAGAAGAAAAAAAUUCAGGAUGUGGCAUGUGUGGACAAUCCAGGCAUAGAUGGCCAUUGUUCUAGGAGGACACGUCGGGAAUGAACCAAGGGGACUAUUUCCUUUUGCCACCAGGCCCGAGCCCAGGGUGAAGGGGGAUCUUCUAAAGCAAAUCAUCCCUACUUUGAAGAGACAGUUUGAAAUUUCCCAGAUGCAUCCCUUAAGGGCUAAAGUCCCAAGUGACUAUUUUAAAAAGCUGGCCCAUGGGCUUCUUGAGUUUGGACGUACUUGGGAAACUGUUCAUUCGCUG
This 1227-nucleotide long non-coding RNA is filed under the name Sus scrofa (pig). RNAcentral describes it as "lncRNA (ENSSSCG00065002189.1)". Lineage: Eukaryota; Metazoa; Chordata; Mammalia; Artiodactyla; Suidae. The record is from RNAcentral.